Cavia porcellus (domestic guinea pig) is the source of this 690-nucleotide long non-coding RNA. RefSeq lists it as uncharacterized. The record is from RefSeq and is a predicted model, not a curated record. Lineage: Eukaryota; Metazoa; Chordata; Mammalia; Rodentia; Caviidae. The transcript has 2 exons.
GGUUCAUCUGAGCAAAGUUGCCAACAUAAACAGAGACUUGGAGAUGAGUGGGGUGUUGUGGGUUUCUCUAAGUGUUGCUGUUUUGGUUCUCCUGGAGGAGGGAGCUGUCAUGACUAGCUUCCCCAGUGUGAGUGCGAAGUGUUGUCACUGAAGGAGCUCAGGACCUUGUUGGUGAGAGUGACUGUGAUUCGAUUUGGGGAAGCUUCGGUCCUUGCAUCGAGCAUCACUUCCUGGCUCCGGAGGGGAAGAUGUGUGCCACUUAAUCUUCAGGACAAACUCAUCAUGCUGGCUUCCUGGCAUGUACUGCACUGUUCUUAUUGUCAGAGGAGCUUGGGACCUCCAUGUCACUGGGAAUGACUGUGGUGCUUUUCAGGACAGCCCUGGUCUUUAUUAUGAGUGUGACUUCUUGGCUCCAGUAUAGAACACUCCACCUACCAGCACAGCUCCUUCACCCCACUGCAUAGACUUUCCACUGACCUUUGGGCCUUCCCAGCACGGAUCCAUAAAAGAGACUGGUGGCGCGCCAACACUCCUCCAAUCAGCUGUCAAGACGUCACUCUGCCUGCCCCUUCAAACUCCAUCCCCUGUCAAACUGAAUAACUGCUUGCAGUUUGUCUGCCCCAAGGGGAUCUUGCAGUCUACUGCAAUCCUCCUGUGCCCGCAAUAAAGGCCUUUUUCUGUUUUUCCCUU